Molecule: ribosomal RNA, 253 nt
Filed under: uncultured bacterium
Lineage: Bacteria
Description: partial 16S ribosomal RNA
Rfam family: Bacterial small subunit ribosomal RNA
Source: RNAcentral
UACGAAGGGUGCAAACGUUGCUCGGAAUUAUUGGGCGUAAAGGGCGCGUAGGCGGCCAUGCGUGUCUUUCGUGAAAUCCCUCGGCUUAACUGAGGACGUGCGGAAGAAACUGCAAGGCUUGAGUCCGGGAGAGGGGGGUGGAAUUCCCAGUGUAGCGGUGAAAUGCGUAGAUAUUGGGAGGAACACCGGUGGCGAAGGCGGCCCCCUGGACCGGUACUGACGCUGAGGCGCGAAAGCGUGGGUAGCAAACGGG